UACGUAGGUUGCAAGCGUUGUCCGGAUUUACUGGGUGUAAAGGGCGUGUAGGCGGAGAUGCAAGUUGGGAGUGAAAUCCCGGGGCUCAACCCCGGAACUGCUUUCAAAACUGCAUCCCUUGAGUGUCGGAGAGGCAAGCGGAAUUCCUAGUGUAGCGGUGAAAUGCGUAGAUAUUAGGAGGAACACCAGUGGCGAAGGCGGCUUGCUGGACGAUAACUGACGCUGAGGCGCGAAAGCGUGGGGAGCAAACAGGAUUAGAUAUCCGCGUAGU
This 271-nucleotide ribosomal RNA is filed under the name uncultured prokaryote. RNAcentral's name for it is "partial 16S ribosomal RNA". It matches the Rfam family "Bacterial small subunit ribosomal RNA", at positions 524 to 794 of the family's 1533-position model. The record is from RNAcentral.